AUCCAGCUGACGAGUCCCAAAUAGGAUGAAGCGCACCUCCUGUAU
RNAcentral lists this non-coding RNA (45 nucleotides) under Schistosoma margrebowiei. Lineage: Eukaryota; Metazoa; Platyhelminthes; Trematoda; Strigeidida; Schistosomatidae. The record is from RNAcentral.